CCUACGGGCGGCAGCAGUCGAGAAUUAUUCACAAUGGGGGAAACCCUGAUGGUGCGACGCCGCGUGGGGGAAUGAAGGUCUUCGGAUUGUAAACCCCUGUCAUGUGGGAGCAAAUUAAAAAGAUAGUACCACAAGAGGAAGAGCCGGCUACCUCUGUGCCAGCAGCCGCGGUAAUACAGAGGUCUCAAGCGUUGUUCGGAAUCACUGGGCGUAAAGCGUGCGUAGGCUGUUUCGUAGGUCGUGUGUGAAAGGCGCGGGCUCAACCCGCGGACGGCACAUGAUACUGCGAGACUAGAGUAAUGGAGGGGGAACCGGAAUUCUCGGUGUAGCAGUGAAAUGCGGAGAUAGCGAGAGGAACACUCGUGGCGAAGGCGGGUUCCUGGACAUUAACUGACGCUGAGGCACGAAGGCCAGGGGAGCGAAAGGGAUUAGAUACCCCUGUAGUC
RNAcentral lists this ribosomal RNA (446 nucleotides) under uncultured bacterium. RNAcentral describes it as "partial 16S ribosomal RNA". It matches the Rfam family "Bacterial small subunit ribosomal RNA", at positions 338 to 795 of the family's 1533-position model. The record is from RNAcentral.